Molecule: long non-coding RNA, 298 nt
Filed under: Homo sapiens (human)
Lineage: Eukaryota; Metazoa; Chordata; Mammalia; Primates; Hominidae
Description: non-protein coding lnc-NOL8-3:1
Source: RNAcentral
GUUGUUUCUCAGUAUAAAUGAGAUCAGUUGUUGAUGACUGCAUAUAACUGACAUGAUGUCCUGUGUCUUCAUACAGGCUCCCUACACACCUUUUCUCACUGAAUUGAUGUACCAGAAUCUAAAGGUGCUGAUUGACCCUGUUUCUGUUCAGGACAAGGACACACUCAGCAUUCACUACCUCAUGCUGCCCCGUGUUCGAGAAGAAUUGAUUGACAAGAAAACAGAGAGUGCAGUAUCUCAGAUGCAGUCUGUGAUUGAACUUGGAAGAGUGAUCAGAGACCGAAAAACUAUUCCCAUA